GGGGCUUCAAGCCGGCGAUGGCCGCGGCGUCGAGAUAGGCGUGUCUUUGAUUGUCCGUGAAGUAGGAGGGGACGCCGAUGACGCAGUCGGAGACGGCAGUGUUGAGCUCUUUCUCGGCGAUCUGCUUGAGGUGAGCGAGGAGCAUGGCGAGGAGCUGGACGGGGGUGAAUGAUUGAUCGUUACCAAGGUAGGGUAGGUGGAUGAGGAUGCCGCCGUCGGG
RNAcentral lists this unclassified non-coding RNA (220 nucleotides) under Hevea brasiliensis (rubber tree). Lineage: Eukaryota; Viridiplantae; Streptophyta; Magnoliopsida; Malpighiales; Euphorbiaceae. The record is from RNAcentral.